Acanthosepion pharaonis is the source of this 105-nucleotide non-coding RNA. The record is from the annotation of a GenBank genome assembly. Lineage: Eukaryota; Metazoa; Mollusca; Cephalopoda; Sepiida; Sepiidae.
AUAUUGUGUUGAUACAGCGGCUCGCGUAUGAUCACUAAAGUUAAGCAACGUCGAGCCUAGUAAGUACCUAGAUGGGUGGCCGCUUGGGAAUACCAGGUGCUGUAA